Molecule: long non-coding RNA, 601 nt
Organism: Labrus mixtus (cuckoo wrasse)
Lineage: Eukaryota; Metazoa; Chordata; Actinopteri; Labriformes; Labridae
Exons: 2
Source: RefSeq, a predicted model, not a curated record
AGAAGGUGAGACACAGGUGAUCACCUGAGACUCAACACUUUCUCUGCCAUGGAAACACUCUCAUUCAGGUUGUCCUUAAUCAUGCUUUUUUUUGGGAAGUCCUUUAUAGUAAGAUCUUUUUUUUAACAAACACUCAGUUACUCAGAUUUCUUUUUGAUUUCACUGAAACAGAGGCAACAAACUGUAUUGAAAGCAUUUCUAGUUUUCUGUGUAGGUCGAUUUUGUGCAUAAAAGUCACCACUAAUCAAAAAUAAACAUUUCUGAUUAUUUAAGAAUAUAGUCAAUGACCGUCUCCUGUGUUGAAAAGCUCAGUGAUAUCUUACAAUUCAACCGGGAUCUGGUCAAAACUAGAGGUCAACGAGUGAUUUCUUUGCUCUAUAAAAGGAAAUUCCUGCUUUAAAGUAACAAUCCUUUAAACUCAAAAUGGGCCACACAAGAUAACAUUAGAAACAAGCUCGAAUAUGUUUUCUUACCACUUCAUCCCAUUUUGUUGCCAACACAUCAGGAUAAACAAUACCCACUGCCCCGCAGAGUACCAAAUGGAGAUAUAUUUGAACAACAAUAAAAACCUUUUUUUUUUUUCUUUUUUGCAAAAAUCAAA